GGGGCUGAACGGUUUCGACAGAUGUUAUUUGACAAUAAAGUGCAACAGAGAUUGAGUAUGUCUCGCGACAAAAGACUCGUAAUUCAAAUGGCGAUAAAUCGCUACAAGGGUUGGAAAUAGAUUGGCACUUAGCUAAUGCAGAAAUGGGAUUUGAUAAUUUCGUUUCUGAUUCCCAACCAACUCACGUUUACGCGUAAGUUACUGAGUUAGUCCACACUCGGUCAUAAAAUAAGAUGGACGCGAUCGCCAACACAAGGAGGCAUUAAACCUUGUUAGUUAAACCAUUCUGAGUAAAAUGGGAUAUGGUGGGUUGUUAGAUAACUACCGAUUUGGAAUCUAACUAAGUUGUGAAUGACUUUAUCGAUUAAACAUUUGGACGUGGGUUCGAAUCCCACCAGCUCCACAA
RNAcentral lists this transfer-messenger RNA (406 nucleotides) under Pelagibacteraceae bacterium TMED287. It matches the Rfam family "transfer-messenger RNA". Rfam says of the family: Bacterial tmRNA, also known as 10Sa RNA or SsrA, is named for its dual tRNA and mRNA-like properties. Its role is to liberate the mRNA from a stalled ribosome. To accomplish this part of the tmRNA is used as a reading frame that ends in a translation stop signal. The record is from RNAcentral. Lineage: Bacteria; Pseudomonadati; Pseudomonadota; Alphaproteobacteria; Candidatus Pelagibacterales; Candidatus Pelagibacteraceae.